This 334-nucleotide ribosomal RNA is filed under the name uncultured soil bacterium. Its description in RNAcentral is "bacterial SSU rRNA". It matches the Rfam family "Bacterial small subunit ribosomal RNA", at positions 26 to 372 of the family's 1533-position model. The record is from RNAcentral.
AGAUUGGACGCUGGCGGCAUGCCUAACACAUGCAAGUCGAACGGGAGUAGCAAUACUCUAGUGGCGGACGGGUGAGGAAUACGUAGGAAUUUGCCCUUAAGUGGGGGAUAACCCGGGGAAACCCGGAUUAAUACCGCAUGACCUCGAAAGAGCAAAGUGGGGGAUCGCAAGACCUCACGCUUUUGGAGAAGCCUACGUCGGAUUAGCUAGUUGGUGAGGUAAUGGCUCACCAAGGCGACGAUCCGUAACUGGUCUGAGAGGAUGAUCAGUCACACCGGAACUGAGACACGGUCCGGACUCCUACGGGAGGCAGCAGUGGGGAAUAUUGGACAAU